AGACAUUGCAUUAAACAAUAAACUUUUUUUCUUAUAUGGGCCCAAAAAACUGUACGAGUACACAAAUGGCUCCAAAAUCCUGAAACUGCAUAGGCAGACACAAUUCUAAACAUAGAGCGAGAGACAGAGAGAUCGAGUUCUUUGUAGAGCUUGUUAUUCUUGCUAUCAUCCAAGGGUUCGUGAGAAGCUCGAAUAAUUGACCUUGAACUGAACGCCCUAAAUACAGAAGCUUUAGCAACUGGAGGUUUCCAUUUAGGUUGGC
RNAcentral lists this long non-coding RNA (262 nucleotides) under Olea europaea (common olive). RNAcentral's name for it is "long non-coding RNA (OEUR_LNC007450)". The record is from RNAcentral. Lineage: Eukaryota; Viridiplantae; Streptophyta; Magnoliopsida; Lamiales; Oleaceae.